UACGUAGGUGGCAAGCGUUGUCCGGAUUUAUUGGGUUUAAAGGGCGCGUAGGCGGCCGGUUGCGUCGGAUGUGAAAGCCCGGGGCUCAACCCCGGAACGGCAUCCGAUACGGGCUGGCUUGAGACCGAGAGAGGUGAGUGGAAUACCCAGUGUAGAGGUGAAAUUCGUAGAUAUUGGGUGGAACACCGGUGGCGAAAGCGGCUCACUGGCUCGGUUCUGACGCUGAGGCGCGAAAGCGUGGGGAGCAAACAGG
RNAcentral lists this ribosomal RNA (253 nucleotides) under uncultured bacterium. RNAcentral's name for it is "partial 16S ribosomal RNA". It matches the Rfam family "Bacterial small subunit ribosomal RNA", at positions 524 to 776 of the family's 1533-position model. The record is from RNAcentral.